ACAUCCAGCGAACUUGGCAGAGAUGCCUUGGUGGCCUUCGGGAACGCUGAGACAGGUGCUGCAUGGCUGUCGUCAGCUCGUGUUGUGAAAUGUUGGGUUAAGUCCCGCAACGAGCGCAACCCUUAUCCUUUGUUGCCAGCGAUUCGGUCGGGAACUCAAAGGAGACUGCCGGUGAUAAACCGGAGGAAGGUGGGGAUGACGUCAAGUCAUCAUGGCCCUUACGAGUAGGGCUACACACGUGCUACAAUGGCGCAUACAAAGAGAAGCGACCUCGCGAGAGCAAGCGGACCUCAUAAAGUGCGUCGUAGUCCGGAUCGGAGUCUGCAACUCGACUCCGUGAAGUCGGAAUCGCUAGUAAUCGUGGAUCAGAAUGCCACGGUGAAUACGUUCCCGGGCCUUGUACACACCGCCCGUCACACCAUGGGAGUGGGUUGCAAAAGAAGUAGGUAGCUUAACCCUCGGGAGGGCGCUUACCACUUUGUGAUUCAUGACUGGGGUGAAGUCGUAACAAGGUAAGCGUAGCGAG
RNAcentral lists this ribosomal RNA (526 nucleotides) under uncultured bacterium. Its description in RNAcentral is "bacterial SSU rRNA". It matches the Rfam family "Bacterial small subunit ribosomal RNA", at positions 984 to 1509 of the family's 1533-position model. The record is from RNAcentral.